UACGUAGGUGGCGAGCGUUGUCCGGAUUUAUUUGGCGUAAAGCGCGCGCAGGCGGUUCGGCAAGUCCGGUGUGAAAGCGCCCGGCUCAACUGGGCGAGGUCAUUGGAGACUGUCGGACUGGAGGUGGGCAGAGGCCGGUGGAAUUCCCGGUGUAGUGGUGAAAUGCGUAGAUAUCGGGAGGAACACCUGUGGUGUAGACGGCUAUCUGGACGGCGACUGACGCUGGGACACGAAAGCGUGGGUAGCAAACAGG
RNAcentral lists this ribosomal RNA (253 nucleotides) under uncultured bacterium. RNAcentral's name for it is "partial 16S ribosomal RNA". It matches the Rfam family "Bacterial small subunit ribosomal RNA", at positions 524 to 776 of the family's 1533-position model. The record is from RNAcentral.